Triticum urartu is the source of this 125-nucleotide non-coding RNA. The record is from Rfam. Lineage: Eukaryota; Viridiplantae; Streptophyta; Magnoliopsida; Poales; Poaceae.
UAAAUACUUCCUCCGUCUGAAAAUACUUGUCGAGGAAAUGGAUAGAAAUGGGUGUAUUUAGAACUAAAAUACAUCUAAAUACAUUCAUUCCUCGAACAAGUAUUUCCGGACGGAAGGAGUAUAAG